Lathyrus oleraceus (garden pea) is the source of this 313-nucleotide long non-coding RNA. RefSeq lists it as uncharacterized. The transcript is spliced from 2 exons. Lineage: Eukaryota; Viridiplantae; Streptophyta; Magnoliopsida; Fabales; Fabaceae. The record is from RefSeq and is a predicted model, not a curated record.
AAUUGGAGCAUUGUGUGCAAUGAAGGAAACAUAAAUAUUUUUUGAUGAUCCAAAAUUUGCAGAGUAUAAAGCAGUUAGAACAGGAGGAGUUGGAGUUCUCAGUUUGAUAUUUUGGAUUUGUUGGUUGUUUGUUGAAAGAAGUUGUUAAGAAGGAUGAAUGAGUUUAUUAUUUUUGUUGAAAUGUCUUAGGGUUUGGGGAUGGUGAUUCAGAAGUAAACAAAAAGAAAUAUGAGAUAAUGGUGUGUUACAAUUCAUUAUUGGUUGUGAUACAAUUCAUCAUCAUUUUUUUAAUAUUAUUAUUUUCGUUACAACA